GCUCCCGUAGCUCAGCUGGAUAGAGCAACUGCCUUCUAAGCAGUAGGUCGCAGGUUCGAGUCCUGCCGGGAGUG
This 74-nucleotide transfer RNA is filed under the name Candidatus Latescibacterota bacterium. RNAcentral describes it as "tRNA-Arg". It matches the Rfam family "tRNA". From Rfam's summary of the family: Transfer RNA (tRNA) molecules are approximately 80 nucleotides in length. Their secondary structure includes four short double-helical elements and three loops (D, anti-codon, and T loops). Further hydrogen bonds mediate the characteristic L-shaped molecular structure. tRNAs have two regions of fundamental functional importance: the anti-codon, which is responsible for specific mRNA codon recognition, and the 3' end, to which the tRNAs corresponding amino acid is attached (by aminoacyl-tRNA synthetases). tRNAs cope with the degeneracy of the genetic code in two manners: having more than one tRNA (with a specific anti-codon) for a particular amino acid; and 'wobble' base-pairing, i.e. permitting non-standard base-pairing at the 3rd anti-codon position. Lineage: Bacteria; Pseudomonadati; Candidatus Latescibacterota. The record is from RNAcentral.